UACGUAGGGUGCAAGCGUUAAUCGGAAUUACUGGGCGUAAAGCGUGCGCAGGCGGCUUUGCAAGACAGAUGUGAAAUCCCCGGGCUUAACCUGGGAACUGCAUUUGUGACUGCAUGGCUGGAGUGCGGCAGAGGGGGAUGGAAUUCCGCGUGUAGCAGUGAAAUGCGUAGAUAUGCGGAGGAACACCGAUGGCGAAGGCAGCCCUCCGGCGUCGACACUGACGCUCAGACGAAAGCGUGGGGAGCAAACAGG
Molecule: ribosomal RNA, 252 nt
Filed under: uncultured bacterium
Lineage: Bacteria
Description: partial 16S ribosomal RNA
Rfam family: Bacterial small subunit ribosomal RNA
Source: RNAcentral